UAGAUAAAUUCUGUGAAAUUCAGUCAGGCUUCUUGUCAAGGUUUUCAUACUGCGCAAUAAAUACGUUGAUCGAACCCUGGGUACACUGCGUAUGCGUGCAAUUCGCAUUGGCGGUGUUCAAAAACAGAAGUUGACAUGCUACCCUGAGAAGACAAAGUUUAUUUACGUUUACGUCGAUAACUCAGCAGGAUCCAUCAGUCUGGAUGUUUUUCUUUUGUUUUUCUUCCAGAGAUUGAUAAAAGAUUCAACAUGUCGAUACUGAGAUCGGUCGCCCCUGUGUUGGGCAGAAUGUUCCAACGAACGGUACACACUGGCACUCUGCUGGCCAAUCCAAGCUUCAGCUCAGUACAGCACAGCCAACUGGGAGGGACUGGCAUCUCAAAAUGCCUGACUUGCUCACAAGGUUCCGUCCUCCGUAGUCUGCUGUUAAGGGCACCAUUGCCCCUGGUCCAGAUGACAAACUCUUUCAAGACCAAAUCAUCCGUGAAGCGGCGGUGCAAGGACUGCUAUUUCGUCAGGAGGAAGGGCCGCCUGUUUGUCAUAUGCAAGACCCAUCCGCGCC
Molecule: long non-coding RNA, 562 nt
Organism: Patiria miniata (bat star)
Lineage: Eukaryota; Metazoa; Echinodermata; Asteroidea; Valvatida; Asterinidae
Exons: 2
Source: RefSeq, a predicted model, not a curated record